GGUUGCGAUCAUACCAGCACUAAUGCAUCGGAUCCCAUCAGAACUCCGCAGUUAAGCGUGCUUGGGGGAGAGUAGUACUAGGAUGGGUGACCCCCUGGGAAGUCCUCGUGUUGCAACCC
RNAcentral lists this ribosomal RNA (119 nucleotides) under Helianthus annuus (common sunflower). The record is from RNAcentral. Lineage: Eukaryota; Viridiplantae; Streptophyta; Magnoliopsida; Asterales; Asteraceae.